GAGGACGUGGUGUAACGGAGAACAUACCAGGUUUCGACCCUGAUGAUGAGGGUUCAAUUCCUUCCGUCCUCGC
RNAcentral lists this transfer RNA (73 nucleotides) under Calothrix sp. NIES-4101. RNAcentral's name for it is "tRNA-Arg". It matches the Rfam family "tRNA". Rfam says of the family: Transfer RNA (tRNA) molecules are approximately 80 nucleotides in length. Their secondary structure includes four short double-helical elements and three loops (D, anti-codon, and T loops). Lineage: Bacteria; Bacillati; Cyanobacteriota; Cyanophyceae; Nostocales; Calotrichaceae. The record is from RNAcentral.